GAUGAACGCUGGCGGCGUGCCUAAUACAUGCAAGUCGAGCGAACAGAUAAGGAGCUUGCUCCUUUGACGUUGGCGGCGGACGGGUGAGUAACACGUGGGUAACCUACCUAUAAGACUGGGAUAACUUCGGGAAACCGGAGCUAAUACCGGAUAACAUUUGGAACCGCAUGGUUCUAAAGUGAAAGAUGGUUUUGCUAUCACUUAUAGAUGGACCCGCGCCGUAUUAGCUAGUUGGUAAGGUAACGGCUUACCAAGGCGACGAUACGUAGCCGACCUGAGAGGGUGAUCGGCCACACUGGAACUGAGACACGGUCCAGACUCCUACGGGAGGCAGCAGUAGGGAAUCUUCCGCAAAGGGCGAAAGCCUGACGGAGCAACGCCGCGUGAGUGAUGAAGGGUUUCGGCUCGUAAAACUCUGUUAUUAGGGAAGAACAAACGUGUAAGUAACUGUGCACGUCUUGACGGUACCUAAUCAGAAAGCCACGGCUAACUACGUG
Molecule: ribosomal RNA, 497 nt
Filed under: uncultured bacterium
Lineage: Bacteria
Description: partial 16S ribosomal RNA
Rfam family: Bacterial small subunit ribosomal RNA
Source: RNAcentral